This 253-nucleotide ribosomal RNA is filed under the name uncultured bacterium. Its description in RNAcentral is "partial 16S ribosomal RNA". It matches the Rfam family "Bacterial small subunit ribosomal RNA", at positions 524 to 776 of the family's 1533-position model. The record is from RNAcentral.
UACGGAGGGUGCAAACGUUGCUCGGAAUUACUGGGCGUAAAGGGCUCGUAGGCGGCCAACUAAGUCAGACGUGAAAUCCCUCAGCUUAACUGGGGAACUGCGUCUGAUACUGGAUGGCUUGGAUUCGGGAGAGGAAUGCGGAAUUCCAGGUGUAGCGGUGAAAUGCGUAGAUAUCUGGAGGAACACCGGUGGCGAAGGCGGCAUUCUGGACCGACAUUGACGCUGAGGAGCGAAAGCCAGGGGAGCAAACGGG